CUACGGGACGCUCCAGUAAGGAAUAUUGCGCAAUGGAGGCAACUCUGACGCAGCCAUGCCGCGUGCAGGAAGAAGGCCUUAUGGGUCGUAAACUGCUUUUAUUUAGGAAUAAACCCCCGAACGUGUUCGGGGCUGAAGGUACUAAACGAAUAAGCACCGGCUAACUCCGUGCCAGCAGCCGCGGUAAUACGGAGGGUGCAAGCGUUAUCCGGAUUAUUGGGUUUAAAGGGUGCGCAGGCGGGCUAUUAAGUCAGUGGUGAAAUCCCGGGGCUCAACUCCGGAACUGCCAUUGAUACUGAUAGUCUUGAGUUUGGUUGAAGUGGGCGGAAUGUAGCAUGUAGCGGUGAAAUGCAUAGAUAUGCUACAGAACACCAAUCGCGAAGGCAGCUCACUAAGCCAAAACUGACGCUCAUGCACGAAAGCGUGGGGAUCAAACAGGAUUAGAUACCCCCGUAGUC
RNAcentral lists this ribosomal RNA (458 nucleotides) under uncultured bacterium. RNAcentral's name for it is "partial 16S ribosomal RNA". It matches the Rfam family "Bacterial small subunit ribosomal RNA", at positions 339 to 795 of the family's 1533-position model. The record is from RNAcentral.